RNAcentral lists this long non-coding RNA (4423 nucleotides) under Zalophus californianus (California sea lion). RNAcentral describes it as "lncRNA (ENSZCAG00015010036.1)". Lineage: Eukaryota; Metazoa; Chordata; Mammalia; Carnivora; Otariidae. The record is from RNAcentral.
CAAGCUACCCUAACUUUAUUCCAAGUUAUGCAUGACCCUGCCCUUUCACCUCUCCUAGGCUUUUCUAUAUAAAUUCUUUGGAUUUACCUUGCAGACCUCAAGGAAUGUGAAACUGGUGAAGAUGUUGCUCUCCUCCAUCCUACAAGCUAUCCACGAAGACCUGCAGGAGAGGGAGGAUAAGAACCUGAAGCUGGAGUACCUGGACACCCUGACCAAGCUAACAAACAUCCUGAGCAGCCACCCCAUGGCCUUUCAACUCAAGUUCCCUCAGAAACUAGAAAUUGUAACCUUCCUGGUGGUGAGCACAAGCAAAAUACAGCUGGUGGGGGACUUACUGUCCCAGAGCUUUGGCUUCCUGAAGAGCCCUCAGUCCUUCCUACGGGCAGCUGCCAUCGACUUCACAGAAUUAACAGCUAAGAAGCUAAACAGGAGUCAAAUACAUGAGGAUGAUGUGGAGCUGUUACAGAAUGGAUAAGCCACCUGAGCAAUAACAUCUUCAAAGUCACUGGCAUGAAAACCCCAAAAAGAAAGAAGUGACUGUUUAAGAGUGUCAAAGGGGAAAGAGAUGAUAAUGACGACAGUCAGAAAGAGAAAAUCUGGAUGUGGCUUCAAAGCCCUCUAAAUUCAUUGUGCAACCGGUACGAUAGGAGGGUGAAAAAUACUCCACUGAUAAUAGGCAAUUCAGAGAAACAGUCAAUACGGUCACAGGUCCCGACAUCUGAAAGUCCACCUGUAGAAGCUGGGCCUGCUGCCAAAUAAGUUGCUCCUAAUUGCUCUGGGACUAAAGCCUUUUCCAUUUGUUUGUCCAGAUGUCAGUACUUUGCUUCCCAGUAGCUCACCUACCAUAGUCCAACUGGAUGGGCUACUUUGGAUUACACCCAAGGAGGCAUUUUUGAUCUUAGAGGACACAGUAUGUUUCUGGUCCUUUCUCUCCCUAGGGGAUUGUUGGCUAUCAGCAUAUGCAUUUGUCAAUAAAACUUACUUUCUCACCCUAAGACAAGAUGACUUUCAUCUUAGUUUUGGGGGAUUGGGGAGAAACCUGAGUGACAGGGACAGCUCUGGAAGUAUCUCCUUCAAUCUUCAGGUAAAGUUUCAAAUGAUAAGAGGGAGGAAGAGUAGGGUGGCAGAACAGCGUGGCACCUAGUGUCCAAUCAAUUGUUUUCACCUCCACACACAUUGGAUGAAAUUCCUACGCCUGACACACUGCAAGGCACAUUCAGAUUUCAGGUUGGAGAAGAAAGAGGCGGGCUGUGGGUGUAAACGUUGGGGUGGCAAUAACUCCAGCCCAAUCUCUCUCACUUAAGAAAGAGCAUUUGGUGGGAUGCCUGGGUGGCUCAGUUGGUUAAGCGACUGCCUUCGGCUCAGGUCAUGAUCCUGGAGUCCCGGGAUCGAGUCCCACAUCGGGCUCCCUGCUCAGCAGGGAGUCUGCUUCUCCCUCUGACCCUCUUCCCUCUCAUGCUCUCUAUCUCUCAUUCUCUCUCUCUCAAAUAAAUAAAUAAAAUCUUUAAAAAAAAAAAGAAAGAAAGAAAGAGCAUUUGGAUUGUGAUGGAGUGACAUUCUUGUUGGGAUAACUUGGAGUCCAUUCUAAUUUAAAAAAAUUUUUUUAAAGAUUUAUUUAUUUAUUUAAGAGGGAGGGGGAGAGCAGGGGGAGGGGCCAAAAGAGAGGGAGAGAGAAUCCUGAAGCAGACCCCCUGCUGAGCACGGAGCCUGACGCAGGGCUCCAUCCCAUGACCCCAAGAUCAUGACCCGAGCUGAAAUCAAGAGCCAGAUGCUCAACUGACUGAGCCACCCAGGCGCCCUGAGGGCAAUAAUUUUUUUUUUCAAAGGCCCUGACAUUUAGGCUAUUGGAACUCAGUUCUGAGAAGUUUGAAAGAUGCAGAAAGAGGGGCAUCUGGGCAGCUCAGUUGGUUAAACCUCUGACUCUUGAUCUCAGCCCAGGUCUUGAUCUCAGGGUCAUGAGUUCAGGCCCCACGUUGGGUUCCAUGCUGGGCAUGGAGCCUACUUAUAAACAAAAAACAAUAGGUUGGGGAAAAAAAUAAAGAUGUGGAAAGACCAAAGAACUAGUUCCCACUUUGGUCAAAUUGAUUAAUUUGACUUCUUUGAAGUUAACCAUGAUCAGAAUGGUUUUGAUUGCUUCUAAACUUUAUGAGCUACUUUUUAAUUUUAUGAACUUUUAUAUAAAAUCCUUCUAAAACUGUUUUCUUCAUAUUUAAAAAUGAGAAUUUUUAAACUUACUUUAUAGGCUUUAUGGAAUGAAAUGAGAUAGCCAUGUACUUGGUAUAGAAAUAAGUGCUUAGGGGCGCCUGGGUGGCUCAGUUGGUUAAGCGACUGCCUUUGGCUCAGGUCAUGAUCCUGGAGUCCCGGGAUCGAGUCCCACGUCGGGCUCCCCCCUCAGCAGGGGGUCUGCUUCUCCCUCUGACCCUCUUCCCUCUCAUGCUCUCUGUCUCUCAUUCUCUCUCUCUCUCAAAUAAAUAAAUAAAAUCUUAAAAAAAAAGAAAUAAGUGCUUAAUCAAUGGCUGUCAUUAUUACCUGGGUAUGAUGGUUAAUUUUGUGUGUCAGUGGGGUUGGGCCAUAGUGCCCACAUAUUUGGUUAAACUUUAUUCUGGAUGUUUCUAUGAGGUUGCCUUUGGAUGAGAUUAACAUUGCAAUUGUAAAUAAGUAAAUCAGAUUGCCCUCUAUAAUGUGGGUGGGCCUCAUCCAAUCAGUUGAAGACCUGAAUAGAAUAAAAAACUGACCUCCUGAGAGCAAGAGGGAAUUCUGCCAGCAGAUGACCUUUGGACUUGAACUGCAACAUGAGCUCUUCCCCGUGCCUCCAGCCUGAUGGUCUACUCUGCAGAUUUUGGACUUGCUGGCCUCCAUCAUAAUUGGCAAUUCCUUAAAUCUAUCUCUUUCUUCCUUGCUCUUUCUUCACACACACACACACACACACACACACACACACACACACACACGUCCUAUUGGUUCUGUUUCUCUGGAGAAUCCUGACUAAUACACCAGGUAUAAGGCAGCAUCCUCUGAGUCAAUAGAAAAGUGUCAAUACUUGGGGAUGACAAAGGUGGAGUUGGUGGGAGUUGGUGGGAAAGCUAAACUUUAAAGACUUAGCUUCUGAACCAAAGCACUGAGACUUCCAGUGCUUUGUAUAUUGGCAUGUGCCCCAUUGGCCUUCAGCCUAGCUUUAUGCUCUUUGACUUUCUGACUUUUAUUUCAAUUUCCUUCGAACUGGGACUUCUCAGGAUACCCCCAACCCUGUCAUGAUCUCUAAUUCUUGCCACCACUCCCUGGCUGCACAUUCUCUAUGAAGACAGCUGCCCCAUCUGUAUCCAGGUGUUCGUAGAGCCCCUAGUCUUGUAUUUGGGGGGACCUUGACCAAAUCAGGCUACCCGGCAGAGGAAGCUGGUCAAUGGCAGAGGGAGAGGUUGCACUCUCACUUGGUCCUAGGGUUAGCAUCCUGUCUUCCUUUGCACAGUCCCCCUGCCCCUGCCUUCCAGCACGCAUCCCUCCCGUGUUCCUCUCCUCCCCACCAGACUCCUUGAAUAGGUGCAGUACUUCUGCUCCUCCAACCUUCUCAUCAUUUAGGCUUUUCUUAACACUUGCAAAGUAAUUUUGUUCCAACUACUGUACUGACUCUCCCUCCUUAAGUUGCCAGGGGAUUUUUUUCUAGUUAUUGUUCUCCUUGACCUUGCUGUAUCCAAUAUUUUUGAUCGUUUUCUCUUUUGCCUUCGUGAUGACCCUAAUUUGCCCUCUACUGCUCUAAUCAAUCAAUUUCUCACUUCCCUCCCCCCAGAGGGGGCCAUUUCUUGAGGUCAUUCUCUGAUUUUAUCCUCUUUUUAAAAAAAUUGUGUUCGGGCACCUGGGUGGCUCAGUCGUUAAGCGUCUGCCUUCAGCUCAGGUCAUGGUCCCAGGGUCCUGGGAUCGAACCCCACAUCCGGCUCCCUGCUCUGCGGGAAGCCUGCUUCUCCCUCUCCCACUCCCCCUGCUUGUGUUCCCUCUCUUGCUGUGUCUCUCUCUGUCAAAUAAAUAAAUAAAAUCUUCAAAAAAAUUGUGUUAAAAUACAUAUAACAUAUAAGAUUAACUAUAUUAACUCUUUUUAAGUGUACAUUUUAGUGGUAAGUGCAUUUACUUUGUUGUGCAACCGAUGUCCAGAACUCCCUUCUUCUCACAACACUGAAACUCUCUACCCAUUAAACAACUAUUCCCAAUCUCCCAUUCAACUCAGCCCCUAAUAACUUCCAUUCUACUUUCUGUCUCUAUGAAUUUGACUACUCUGGGUACCUCAUGUAAGUGGAAUCAUACAGUAUUUGUCUUUUUGUGACUGGCUUAUUUCACUUAUCACAAUGUGAUAGUUUUUUGCAUCAAUUUGAAGUGGACCAUGGUGUCCAAAUAUUUGGUCAAACAUUAUUCUGGAUGUUUCUGUGAAGAUGGU